This 27-nucleotide small RNA is filed under the name Bombyx mori (domestic silkworm). RNAcentral's name for it is "ovarian small RNA-2956". The record is from RNAcentral. Lineage: Eukaryota; Metazoa; Arthropoda; Insecta; Lepidoptera; Bombycidae.
UACCGACUUUGCGAAUGAGGGGUUGAU